AAGUCGUAACAAGGUUUCCGUAGGUGAACCUGCGGAAGGAUCAUUAACACUUUUCAAAACUCAAAAUUUCCCUUUUGAAUCCCUCUCUUUUCUUUCUUCUCUCUUCGGAGGGAGGAAGUCAAGAGAUUUUCAAAUUUAAUUUGAACAAAAAUGUGUAACCUUACUUUUUUACUUAUGGAUUUGAGGACAGAGGACGAGGGGGUUUUCAACUCUCUCUCUCUUCGUGGUUCUCAGAUUUUCUCAUAAACCAGUUAAACCCAAUAAAUCAAAAUAUGGCGUAUCUCAAAGGGACUUUUUGUCUCUCUGACGAUCCCCCAUAGUUAAACCAAAAACAAAAAACCAAAAACAAAAAACUAAAAAAUAAAACACAACUCUUAACAAUGGAUAUCUUGGUUCUCGC
RNAcentral lists this unclassified non-coding RNA (400 nucleotides) under fungal sp. Its description in RNAcentral is "partial internal transcribed spacer region". The stretch from base 1 to 46 matches the Rfam family "Eukaryotic small subunit ribosomal RNA", at positions 1786 to 1831 of the family's 1831-position model. Lineage: Eukaryota; Fungi. The record is from RNAcentral.